RNAcentral lists this non-coding RNA (28 nucleotides) under Mus musculus (house mouse). Lineage: Eukaryota; Metazoa; Chordata; Mammalia; Rodentia; Muridae. The record is from RNAcentral.
UGAGAUAAAUUCUGGGGAUGCUCUUUUC